AGAGUUUGAUCCUGGCUCAGGAUGAACGCUGGCGGCGUGCUUAAUACAUGCAAGUCGAGCGAGGACCAUUUGGUGGCAACACCGGGUGGCUCCUAGCGGCGAACGGGUGAGUAACACGUGGGCAACCUACCCCCGACUCUGGGAUAAGCCCGGGAAACUGGGUCUAAUACCGGACACGAGCCUCCUCCGCAUGGUGGAGGUUGGAAAGGGUCUCCGGUCGGGGAUGGGCCCGCGGCCUAUCAGCUUGUUGGCGGGGUAACGGCCCACCAAGGCAUCGACGGGUAGCUGGUCUGAGAGGAUGGCCAGCCACAUUGGGACUGAGAGACGGCCCAGACUCCUACGGGAGGCAGCAGUGGGGAAUCUUGCGCAAUGGCCGAAAGGCUGACGCAGCGACGCCGCGUGUGGGAGGAAGCCCUUCGGGGUGUAAACCACUGUUGCCCGGGGCGAAACUCCUCUUUCGAGAGGACUGACGGUACCGGGUGAGGAAGCACCGGCUAACUCCGUGCCAGCAGCCGCGGUAAU
This 522-nucleotide ribosomal RNA is filed under the name uncultured soil bacterium. RNAcentral describes it as "bacterial SSU rRNA". It matches the Rfam family "Bacterial small subunit ribosomal RNA", at positions 8 to 524 of the family's 1533-position model. The record is from RNAcentral.